GGAGACAUGACAUCAACUAUUUGGACAGAUAGUAGGGGUGGUAUGGUUCAUGAAUAAACAUCCGAACCGCUCAGUUCGCUUGUCUCGGUUCGCUUGUCUCGGUUCG
Long non-coding RNA from Sander lucioperca (pikeperch), 106 nucleotides. RefSeq lists it as uncharacterized. The record is from RefSeq and is a predicted model, not a curated record. Lineage: Eukaryota; Metazoa; Chordata; Actinopteri; Perciformes; Percidae. The transcript is spliced from 3 exons.